AUUGAACGCUGGCGGAAUGCUUUACACAUACAAGUCGAGCGGCAGCGCGGGGCAACCUGGCGGCGAGCGGCGAACGGGUGAGUAAUGCAUCGGAACGUACCCCGUCGUGGGGGAUAACUACCCGAAAGGGUAGCUAAUACCGCAUACGACCUGAGGGUGAAAGCGGGGGACCGAAAGGCCUCGCGCGAUGGGAGCGGCCGAUGCCGGAUUAGCUAGUUGGUAGGGUAAAGGCCUACCAAGGCGACGAUCCGUAGCUGGUCUGAGAGGACGACCAGCCACACUGGAACUGAGACACGGUCCAGACUCCUACGGGAGGCAGCAGUGGGGAAUUUUGGACAAUGGGCGAAAGCCUGAUCCAGCCAUUCCGCGUGAGUGAAGAAGGCCUCGGUUGUAA
Molecule: ribosomal RNA, 394 nt
Filed under: uncultured bacterium
Lineage: Bacteria
Description: bacterial SSU rRNA
Rfam family: Bacterial small subunit ribosomal RNA
Source: RNAcentral